GCAAGUCGAAUGAGUUUAUACUCAUGGCAGACGAGGUAGGAACACGUAGGUACGUACCCAAAAGUCAGGGAUAACCCGGUGAAAAUCGGAAUAAUACUUGAUAGUCCCUUCGGGGUAAAGAUUUAUCGCUUCUUGAACGGCCUGCGGUCUGUCAGCUUGAUGGUAAGGUAACGGCUUACCAUGGCUACGACGGAUAGGGGAGGUGAGAGCCUGACC
RNAcentral lists this ribosomal RNA (216 nucleotides) under uncultured bacterium. RNAcentral's name for it is "partial 16S ribosomal RNA". It matches the Rfam family "Bacterial small subunit ribosomal RNA", at positions 57 to 305 of the family's 1533-position model. The record is from RNAcentral.